Long non-coding RNA from Serinus canaria (Common canary), 439 nucleotides. RefSeq lists it as uncharacterized. The transcript has 3 exons. The record is from RefSeq and is a predicted model, not a curated record. Lineage: Eukaryota; Metazoa; Chordata; Aves; Passeriformes; Fringillidae.
GCGGCGGCGGCGGGAGCAUCCCGGUGCUGCGAGCCCAGCGCCGGCUGCUGCCAGCCCAAAGUGCUGCCUCCGCACCAUUUCCUUCUCCUGGCCUUGCCUUCUGGUAGGGAUCCCUCUCCUCCCGCCGCCCCGGGGCUGCGUGCGCGGCCGGGAGAGGCUCUGGCAACGGUAAAGCCCAAACGCAUCAAAACAAGUGGAGGAGAAACCUGACACAACACAAACCCUGCAGAGCCUAAAACCCAUCACUGUGGUGUCCACCUGCACCCCUCAGCUCCAGAGGCUCAGCUUGGACAAAAUUCCACAUCCUCAAUCCAGCAGCCACACCCUCACUGCUGAACAGCCAAGGCUAUGACUAAGAGAAAUCCACAUUUGGAGGGAUAGCAGAAGAUGGAGGCCCUGGUCCAGCUGCGGAGGGAGAAUAAAGUCGGGAGUUUGCAGA